AUUGAACGCUGGCGGCAUGCCUUACACAUGCAAGUCGAACGGUAACAGGUCUUCGGAUGCUGACGAGUGGCGAACGGGUGAGUAAUACAUCGGAACGUGCCUAGUAGUGGGGGAUAACUACUCGAAAGAGUGGCUAAUACCGCAUGAGAUCUACGGAUGAAAGCAGGGGAUCGCCAGACCUUGUGCUACUAGAGCGGCCGAUGGCAGAUUAGGUAGUUGGUGGGAUAAAAGCUUACCAAGCCGACGAUCUGUAGCUGGUCUGAGAGGACGAUCAGCCACACUGGGACUGAGAAACGGCCCAGACUCCUACGGGAGGCAGCAGUGGGGAAUUUUGGACAAUGGGCGCAAGCCUGAUCCAGCAAUGCCGCGUGCAGGAUGAAGGCCUUUGGGUUGUAAACUGCUUUUGUACGGAACGAAAAGCCCCGGGUUAAUACCCUGGGGUCAUGACGGUACCGUAAGAAUAAGCACCGGCUAACUACGUGCCAGCCGCCGCCGUAA
RNAcentral lists this ribosomal RNA (498 nucleotides) under uncultured bacterium. RNAcentral describes it as "partial 16S ribosomal RNA". It matches the Rfam family "Bacterial small subunit ribosomal RNA", at positions 30 to 523 of the family's 1533-position model. The record is from RNAcentral.